Callithrix jacchus (white-tufted-ear marmoset) is the source of this 709-nucleotide long non-coding RNA. RefSeq lists it as uncharacterized. Lineage: Eukaryota; Metazoa; Chordata; Mammalia; Primates; Cebidae. The record is from RefSeq and is a predicted model, not a curated record.
CCCAGGCAGGCAACUGGUUCAGUCCCUCAGCCCUGCCAGGCCAUUGAAUAAUUAAGCUGGCUGAGGGGUGACAGGGCUGGAAAGCCAAAAGUGACCAGGGUCUGGCCUUGCUUGGCUUUGGUGACGCGAUGGCCCUGGGAUCAUGGCCUUCUUGAACCUAUAAACAGGGGGUUGGGCCCCAAGACAGGCAAGGCCAGGCCAAGGUCUGUGCUGGUGGCCUCAAGCUAAAGUCGAGCAGGGACAGGAAGGGGGGUGCUCCAAGGCUACAGGAAAGGGAGUGCUAUGGAGCGAGAGUUUCUGUCCAUUGGCGCAACCCCCAUCCACUCAACCCCCAUCCACCCCCACUCUGGGAUUCCAUUUCUUUCUUCCCAGUCCUUUCUCAAUUUUCACCUUCAAUUUAUUGAGCACUUAUUACAUGCAGGGCUCUUCCAAAGUACUUUCCACAGAUCUGGUUCCUGCCCGCCCCCGCAUGAUGGGAAGGAGUUCUGUCCCCUCCCCAAAUGAGCAAAGCCCUGCUACUUGGACUCCCAUCACACCAGGGGACACAGAAAAGUACAAAGAAGAAAACAAAAAGGUGACCCAGAGGGAACCACCUACGGUGUUCACGGGAAUUCAGCUCGGCUCACGCACUUAUAUUGAGCUCCUACUGUUGUCUGCUUUUUCAUUUUUCAUGAAAAUAAAACUCGACUCGAAGUCUCAUUUUAAAAUA